GUUGGUGUAGCUCAGUGGUAGAGUGCCAUGCUUUCUAUGUAUGAUGUUCUGGGUUCAAUACCCAGCUUCUCCC
Non-coding RNA from Dallia pectoralis (Alaska blackfish), 73 nucleotides. The record is from the annotation of a GenBank genome assembly. Lineage: Eukaryota; Metazoa; Chordata; Actinopteri; Esociformes; Umbridae.